This 403-nucleotide ribosomal RNA is filed under the name uncultured bacterium. RNAcentral's name for it is "partial 16S ribosomal RNA". It matches the Rfam family "Bacterial small subunit ribosomal RNA", at positions 28 to 526 of the family's 1533-position model. The record is from RNAcentral.
GACGAACGCUGGCGGCGUGCCUAAUACAUGCAAGUCGAACGCAGUGGGGACGGGUGAGUAAAACGUGGGUAACCUCCCAUCAGAGGGGAUAACACUUGGAAAAAGGUGCUAAACCGAUACUGAUGGAUGGACACGCGGUGCAUUAGCUAGUGGGGGAGGUAACGGCUCACCAAGGCCACGAGGGAGAGCCGUGCUGGUGGGUUUGUAGGCCCCACGGGGCCGGAGACACGGCCCAGACUCCUACGGGAGGCAGCAUUAGGUAAUCUUCGGCAAUGGACGAAAGUCUGACCGAGCAACGCCGCGUGAGUGAAGAAGGUUUUCGGAUCGUAAAACUCUGUUGUUAGAGAAGCGGUAUCUAACCAGAAAGCCACGGCUAACUACGUGCCAGCAGCCGCGGUAAUAC